UUUCUCUCUCCCUCUCUGUUUCUCUCUCCCGCUCUGUUUCUCUCUGUUUCUCUCUCCCUCUCUGUUUCUCUCUCCCUCUCUGUUUCUCUCUCCCGCUCUGUUUCUCUCUCUGUUUCUCUCGCUCUCUUAAAGUGAAUUACAGAAACCCUUAACAAGGUUUCAGCCCUGUCCCUCUCCGUAUCAUAACAGAUGGGGUCGACCAUUCAUUCAUAGAUUACAAAGCUGAAUUGAGCCAGAAGCUGCUGUUUUUUUUAUCCUUCUUCCCAGUUUUCUGGUUUCUAUCAAUAGUGAAGGAGGCAGUUGAGGGGAAUCUCUUAAGGGACUUCAGUACUAAGUAACCUCCUCCAUUUUGAUAUUCUUUUCCAGUCUGCCUAAUUGAUUUGAUUCUAAGAAGGGGCUGUGUUUAUACCCAGGUCUGUUGAUUUGAUUCUAAGAAGGGGCUGUGUUUAUACCCAGGUCUGUUGAUUUGAUUCUAAGAAGGGGCUGUGUUUAUACCCGGGUCUUUUAUUGAUUUGAUUCUAAGAAGGGGCUGUGUUUAUACCCAGGUCUGCUAUUGCUUUGAUUCUAAGAAGGGGCUGUGUGUUUAUACCCGGGUCUUUAAUUGAUUUGAUUCUAAGAAGGGGCUGUGUUUAUACCCAGGUCUGUUAUUGAUUUGAUUCUAAGGGGCUGUGUUUAUACCCAGGUCUGUUAUUGAUUUGAUUCUAAGAAGGGGCUGUGUUUAUACCCAGGUCUGUUAUUGAUUUGAUUCUAAGAAGGGGCUGUGUUUAUACCCAGGUCUGUUAUUGAUUUGAUUCUAAGGGGCUGUGUUUAUACCCAGGUCUUUAAUUGAUUUGAUUCUAAGAAGGGGCUGUGUUUAUACCCAGGUCUGUUAUUGAUUUGAUUCUAAGAAGGGGCUGUGUUUAUACCCAGGUCUGUUAUUGAUUUGAUUCUAAGAAGGGGCUGUGUUUAUACCCAGGUCUGUUAUUGAUUUGAUUCUAAGGGGCUGUGUUUAUACCCAGGUCUUUAAUUGAUUUGAUUCUAAGAAGGGGCUGUGUUUAUACCCAGGUCUGCUAUUGAUUUGAUUCUAAGAAGGGGCUGUGUUUAUACCCAGGUCUGCUAUUGAUUUGAUUCUAAGGGGCUGUGUGUUUAUACCCAGGUCUGUUAUUGAUUUGAUUCUAAGAAGGGGCUGUGUUUAUACCCAGGUCUUUAAUUGAUUUGAUUCUAAGGGGCUGUGUUUAUACCCAGGUCUUUAAUUGAUUUGAUUCUAAGAAGGGGCUGUGUUUAUACCCAGGUCUGUUAUUGAUUUGAUUCUAAGGGGCUGUGUGUUUAUACCCAGGUCUGUUAUUGAUUUGAUUCUAAGGGACUGUGUGUUUAUACCCAGGUCUGUUAUUGAUUUGAUUCUAAGGGGCUGUGUGUUUAUACCCAGGUCUGUUAUUGAUUUGAUUCUAAGGGGCUGUGUGUUUAUACCCAGGUCUGUUAUUGAUUUGAUUCUAAGGGACUGUGUGUUUAUACCCAGGUCUUUAAUUUGACCGCAUUAGGACAGGGAACAGAAAGGAAGUGAUGGUGGAGUCCCCCCCCCCUCCCCUCUAAUGUCUCCACGUCUCUCUGAAGUCUGUUUAACUUCUGCCCCCCCCCUCUAAUGUCUCCACGUCUCUCUGAAGUCUGUUCUUCUGAAGAUGAUAUUCUGGACAGAAUAUCCCAUCAAAAUGGAUCCCUCAUUUUACAUGCUGUCCUGGUUUUACUGUCUGUUUUCUCCAGAUUUCCUUUUAAAUUUAUUUGUCUUCAUUCUUUUACAGCGUGUUGUUAUUCUGUCUCCUUUUUGUAGUUCUUCUUGUGUUUUAUUCAAGCCAACUGUUUGAGGUUUCUCUCUUUUUUCCCCCGUAAAGACAUUAAACAUUUACCAGAUGUAGAUGGAAAACAUGACCAUGGUGGUAUUUAUCAUUCUGUGGAAUUCAGCUGCCGGUGCAUUGAAGCAACAAAAAAAAACAGUUUUGAAAUAAAAUAUAAUAAAAAUAGAAAA
Molecule: long non-coding RNA, 1999 nt
Organism: Oncorhynchus gorbuscha (pink salmon)
Lineage: Eukaryota; Metazoa; Chordata; Actinopteri; Salmoniformes; Salmonidae
Exons: 3
Source: RefSeq, a predicted model, not a curated record